GUGCCAGCCGCCGCGGUAAUACGGAGGGUGCAAGCGUUAAUCGGAAUUACUGGGCGUAAAGCGCACGCAGGCGGUCUGUCAAGUCGGAUGUGAAAUCCCCGGGCUCAACCUGGGAACUGCAUUCGAAACUGGCAGGCUGGAGUCUUGUAGAGGGGGGUAGAAUUCCAGGUGUAGCGGUGAAAUGCGUAGAGAUCUGGAGGAAUACCGGUGGCGAAGGCGGCCCCCUGGACAAAGACUGACGCUCAGGUGCGAAAGCGUGGGGAGCAAACAGGAUUAGAUACCCUGGUAGUCCACGCCGUAAACGAUGUCGAUUUGGAGGUUGUGCCCUUGAGGCGUGGCUUCCGGAGCUAACGCGUUAAAUCGACCGCCUGGGGAGUACGGCCGCAAGGUUAAAACUCAAAUGAAUUGACGGGGGCCCGCACAAGCGGUGGAGCAUGUGGUUUAAUUCGAUGCAACGCGAAGAACCUUACCUGGUCUUGACAUCCACAGAAUUCGGCAGAGAUGCCUUAGUGCCUUCGGGAACCGUGAGACAGGU
This 535-nucleotide ribosomal RNA is filed under the name uncultured Grimontella sp. RNAcentral's name for it is "bacterial SSU rRNA". It matches the Rfam family "Bacterial small subunit ribosomal RNA", at positions 505 to 1039 of the family's 1533-position model. Lineage: Bacteria; Pseudomonadati; Pseudomonadota; Gammaproteobacteria; Enterobacterales. The record is from RNAcentral.